This is a non-coding RNA of Callithrix jacchus (white-tufted-ear marmoset), 3238 nucleotides long. Lineage: Eukaryota; Metazoa; Chordata; Mammalia; Primates; Cebidae. The record is from RefSeq and is a predicted model, not a curated record.
CCGCAAUGUUGACAAAUCUGUUUCCAAACCUGGAAACAGUCUCUUGGUCCUAACAUUUAUAUGUAUAUACUUUUUAUUGUGAUGUUAAAUCAAUGGAGAGUUUUAUAUUGUUCACAUAACAGCAGGCCAGGCCACAGGAUUGAGUUCAUAAUGAGAUGAAAUGACAGUAAGUAUAGAUUAGUUCUGGACAUUGCAAGUAUACUUUGGAUUUUUUCUGGGUUUUAGAAAUGAUAUACAAUAAAAACACGGAAAAGAUGAAAUUGUUAAUGUUAUAAAAAUUCAAUUUGUUUUACUCACAGCUAGAGUAUUGCUUUGUCAUAUGUCUCACUGUUAUAUAUCUUAGUUUUAAAAGUAGAAAAAAGAGUCCUGUUUUUAAAAAUCCUCCUACUAAUGGAUGCUGUUGGUGCAAUAUCAAGUUCUGUCAGGCCUUUAACAUUUGAGAGUAGUGAAUAGUUCUAAUAAAUAUUUCAGAGUUUAUGCAGUAUCAGUAUCAGCUCACUUGUAUACAAUGUCCUUGUUUAAGACAUCUACAUAAUGCUUCAAACACAGUGCCUAGCAGUAGUGAGUAUUCAUUUUUUUAUAUAAACAUACUGCCUGUUGAGUUUUCUGUUUAUUUACUGAAUGUAUGGAAAGCAUGAAUUUGAUACUGUUUCAUAUAAACCAUGUCUUCUGAUUGUCGCAAAAAAGCUGUAAAAGCCCCGUGUGAAAGGGUAAGGUGUGAAGAUUCAGAAAGGCUCAAUAACUCGGCCAAGGUGGCACAGCUACAUCGUGGUAAAAGUAGGCUUUGAACCCAGCUCAACGCUACACUAAAGUCCAUAGUCUUUUUACUGCUCUUUGCGGGUUUCAGCAUACUAUAAAAAUAAACCAUUUAUAUUGCACAAUAUGUGAACCAGGAAUCUUGGAAUAUUUACUUUGUAGAAUUUAUUUUCUCUUAAUCUAGCUUGAGGAUGUUAAGAAAUCGACUCUAAUAGUGUUUUCCCAGAAUGUUAUUAUUUAUAUUAACAAUGUCAGUGGAAUCCACAAGUAGACAUCAUCACCUAGCUGCUACCUGCAAAAAGAGAGGAAAAAAAAUCAGUACUUUAAUGCCUGUCUUGGUUGAAAAUACAUGUUUUAUUUUAACCAAUAUGUUUUAUGCCAUGACUAUUAAAAUUAUUCUUCUGAUCAUAUCAGUAUUACCUUUUGUGCCACGAAUGCUUUGUUUUGAUGUGCUUCAGAAAGAGUAAAAUAGUCAGAAAGUGCAUUUUUUAACAAAUGGCUUGAAAUAUUUUGAGUGACAGUAAUGAAAUGUAGUUGAUAUUUGGUUUUUUCACUCUAUGUUUAAUCUGUAAAUGAUAAUCUAAUAAUUUGGUGAAUAUUUACUGUUUUGUAAGUUAGUUUAAUAUACUUCGGGUUGUUGAAAAUAUGAUAUAAAAUAACUGGUAAUAGCUAGGUACUUAUCGAGUUAAGUUUGACAAAUGAGAAAUACAUGCCAAUUAUCCAGUUCACAAUAUUUACCAAGAAUUAUAGUUUGCGUCUUCAUUGCAAAACAAAUAGUCACCUUAGCUUAAUUCAGUAAACAGCAGCUCUUAUGGGAUUACCUGGUCUAUCUGUUGCAGAUUCAACUUUCAGAGGUUAAUAUGAACUGUUUAGGGGAGAAUAAAAUUUAUGAAAACAGAAGUUUUCUUUUAAUUGGAAUGACUUCCAGUUCAGAGAAAGACUGACUCACUGAGUCCUUGUCUCAUGGUCGUGGCAUGGCGUCCAGUGUCAGUGGUGGGAAUAGUAACAGCACUUCUUCACAUUUGUAUGGCACAUCACAGUCUGAUAAAGCACUUUCACGUAGUGUCAUUUGGGUUCUGCACAGAGGGCAGCAUGUGGCUAUGGCGUCUGUUAACGGCAGCCUUGUUAUCUUGGCAGUGUACUUGUACUUUCAAAUCCAGAAAGCUAACAUUGUUAGGGAGAUUUCAAAUAGUUUUGGAACGAUAGGAAAAAGUGUCUUAGAAAAUUUGGGGGAGUUUUUUUGAGAAGUUGGUGUACUCAUCUGAAUUAAGCUAAUUUUAAUGUGGACUUCCAAACAUGGGAAUGUGUAUCUAUCCAGGUUUAUAACCAUCCAGAAUUUACUUAACAGUCAGAAAGUUUGAGUUUGACUUUCCAGUGUGGGGAAGUCUCAAUUAUUUUCUAUAGCAGUACCUUGUUUAUCCUAAUAUUUUUUUAAGCUAACGUUUCAUCAGAAGUUAGACAUCUUUCUUCUUUUAUGUGUAAUUAUUUCAAGGUUUCAGGUCUUGAGAUUCUUGAAAAUAUGGGUGUAUUCCAUAGAAUCUAUUUUAUUUCAAUUAUUUUGUAAAAUUUUCAACUUUCAUUUGAAUCUUUGAACAUUUAGAAAUGUAAGCAAUUCUGAAACAAUAUACAAAGAAUAAGUAUACCUUCAAUGAAAAUGCAUUUAUCCAAGCAAUAUGGCAAUAUAAAAUAUGUGCUUCAAGCGGUGUAAAAGUAUUUGCCCCUAGAAAAUAUAUUUUAAACUAUUCAUCCUCAUAAAUUUAUGUCUUUGGCCUUUAUAUUUAUCUCCCAGGAGUGUCAAUUUUGUUUGUAUUUUAAUAAGAAAAUUGUAAUAAAAACUUGGGAUUUCAUUUUAGGUGAGGUUUUGUAUAUGGUUUUGUUUUUAUACAGUAGAGUUUAAUCCAUGUGUUGCUUUUCUUCAAGUAUAGUUUAAAGGAGUACAUUUGGAACGUGUUUUUGGAAAAAGCAUGUUUAUGUAGCAGAAGAGACUUCAGUGCACACUUUCGAAGAAAAACAGUUUCUGAGCAUUAAGUGGUAAAAGGCAAUAAUAAUUCAAAUGAUGAUAACAAGCCAACCUGCUAAAAAGAAUGCAUGUUCUGUGUAUCCAGCCAUUUCACAUGAACUAACCCCAUUUAAAAGAAUACAUUUUCCAUUCACUGUGCACAUAUGUGUAAUCAUUUUUGACUAAAAUCAAUUGCCAUUAUCAUGCCAACUAAAUCUGCAGUAGAAUGUAUUAGUUGCCAGAUACAAUACAAAAUAUAUCAUUUAAAAAUAAUCAUGAUUGAGUCCCAGAAAUGAAUAGAUUCAAUUUGUAACAAUUAGUUAUAGAAACACUCCAGAGAGUAAAGUUAAUGUUAAUUUGUAUGUGUAGUAACUAAAGUACUAUGGUAAAGCCUGUAAUGUGGUAGCAAUGUGGAGCAUUUUAUGCUAAAAUACACUGAAACAUUAGAGAUGAGCCUAAUUGCUUUUCUUAUUUUCCCGAAUA